AUCCUUUUGUAUUUCACGAGCAUGAUGACUGGGUGUUCACGUGGUUGUGUGACACACGCCUCCCGCAAACCUUGUUAUGACGCUGGUACAUUACCCGUUCGAUG
Molecule: small nucleolar RNA, 104 nt
Filed under: Catagonus wagneri (Chacoan peccary)
Lineage: Eukaryota; Metazoa; Chordata; Mammalia; Artiodactyla; Tayassuidae
Description: Small nucleolar RNA U13 (ENSCWAG00000015775.1)
Rfam family: Small nucleolar RNA U13
Source: Rfam by way of RNAcentral